This is a long non-coding RNA of Etheostoma spectabile (orangethroat darter), 103 nucleotides long. RefSeq lists it as uncharacterized. Lineage: Eukaryota; Metazoa; Chordata; Actinopteri; Perciformes; Percidae. The record is from RefSeq and is a predicted model, not a curated record. The transcript is spliced from 3 exons.
AUGUGAUGCACACUGAGAGAGAUACAUAAUAACAUCUCAAAAACAGCACUGAAAUGAAAAGUAGAACUGUAGAGAGGGAGCGUGCGUGUUUGGUUUGUUUGGU